CAAGAGGUAGUUUAAUUAGAAUAUCAGCUUUGGGUGUUGAUGGUAGGGCGUACGCUCUUCUCUUGA
This is a non-coding RNA of Myotis myotis, 66 nucleotides long. The record is from the annotation of a RefSeq genome assembly. NCBI's taxonomy places the organism in Eukaryota, Metazoa, Chordata, Mammalia, Chiroptera, Vespertilionidae.